Molecule: long non-coding RNA, 502 nt
Filed under: Homo sapiens (human)
Lineage: Eukaryota; Metazoa; Chordata; Mammalia; Primates; Hominidae
Description: non-protein coding lnc-KRTAP24-1-1:1
Source: RNAcentral
GCCCAGCUCAACAUUGGCAAUGUUCUCUCUGUGGAUACCAUGCCUGAGAGGUACAAUCAUGUGCUGCUUGGAGGAGAAGCCUAGAGACCAUGGCAAGCUGACCCAGGCAUCAGGGAACUAUGCCACAGUUAUCUCCCACAAUCCUGAGACCAAGAAGAGCCGUGUAAAGCUACCCUCUGGCUCCAAGAAGGUUACCUCCUCAGCCAACAGAGCUGUGGUUGGUGUGGUGGCUGGAGGUGGCCAAAUUGACAAACCCAUCCUGAAGGCUGGCUGGGCAUACCACAGAUAUAAGGCAAAGAGGAACUGCUGGCCACAAGUACGGGGUGGGGUGUGAACAUGAACCCUGUGGAGCAUCAUUUCGGAGGGAGGUGGCAGCCACCAGCACAUCGGCAAGCCCUCCACCAUCUGCAGAGAUGCCUCUGCUGGCCAAAGUGGGUCUCAUUGCUGCCCGCCAGACGGGAUAGUCUAGGGAACCAAGACCGGGCAGGAGAAAGAGAACUAG